This 426-nucleotide ribosomal RNA is filed under the name uncultured bacterium. Its description in RNAcentral is "bacterial SSU rRNA". It matches the Rfam family "Bacterial small subunit ribosomal RNA", at positions 355 to 773 of the family's 1533-position model. The record is from RNAcentral.
UGGGGAAUAUUGGACAAUGGGGGAAACCCUGAUCCAGCAAUGCCGCGUGUGUGAAGAAGGCCCUCGGGUUGUAAAGCACUUUUAUCGGGAACGAAACGUUGUCGGUUAAUACCCGGCAAAACUGACGGUACCCGAGGAAUAAGCACCGGCUAACUACGUGCCAGCAGCCGCGGUAAUACGUAGGGUGCGAGCGUUGCCCGGAUUCAUUGGGCGUAAAGCGCGCGCAGGCGGAUGCACGCGUCCCGCGUGAAAUCGCCCGGCUCAACCGGGCGGGGUCGCGGGAUACGGUGCGUCUGGAGCACGGGAGGGGGCAGUGGAAUUCCCGGUGUAGUGGUGGAAUGCGUAGAGAUCGGGAGGAACACCAGUGGCGAAGGCGACUGCCUGGACCGUGGCUGACGCUGAGGCGCGAAAGCGUGGGGAGCGAUC